AGCGGCGGACCGCGUGAGUAACACGUGGGUAACCUGCCCAUAAGACUGGGAUAACUCCGGGAAACCGGGGCUAAUACCGGAUAACAUUUUGAACUGCAUGGUUCGAAAUUGAAAGGCGGCUUCGGCUGUCACUUAUGGAUGGACCCGCGUCGCAUUAGCUAGUUGGUGAGGUAACGGCUCACCAAGGCAACGAUGCGUAGCCGACCUGAGAGGGUGAUCGGCCACACUGGGACUGAGACACGGCCCAGACUCCUACGGGAGGCAGCAGUAGGGAAUCUUCCGCAAUGGACGAAAGUCUGACGGAGCAACGCCGCGUGAGUGAUGAAGGCUUUCGGGUCGUAAAACUCUGUUGUUAGGGAAGAACAAGUGCUAGUUGAAUAAGCUGGCACCUUGACGGUACCUAACCAGAAAGCCACGGCUAACUACGUGCCAGCAGCCGCGGUAAUACGUAGGUGGCAAGCGUUAUCCGGAAUUAUUGGGCGUAAAGCGCGCGCAGGUGGUUUCUUAAGUCUGAUGUGAAAGCCCACGGCUCAACCGUGGAGGGUCAUUGGAAACUGGGAGACUUGAGUGCAGAA
RNAcentral lists this ribosomal RNA (575 nucleotides) under Bacillus sp. (in: firmicutes). RNAcentral describes it as "bacterial SSU rRNA". It matches the Rfam family "Bacterial small subunit ribosomal RNA", at positions 94 to 653 of the family's 1533-position model. Lineage: Bacteria; Bacillati; Bacillota; Bacilli; Caryophanales; Bacillaceae. The record is from RNAcentral.